UGCAAGUCGACGAGGCAGCGGCCUUCGGGCCGUUGUCGAGUGGCGAACGGGUGAGUAACACGUGAGGAACCUGCCCCGGAGACCGGGAUAACCAGGGGAAACUCUGGCUAAUACCGGAUGCCCCCGGAUGGUCGCAUGGCCAACCGAGGAAACGCUCCGGUGCUCCGGGAGGGCCUCGCGGCCUAUCAGCUUGUUGGUGGGGUAACGGCCUACCAAGGCAUCGACGGGUAGCUGGUCUGAGAGGACGAUCAGCCACACUGGGACUGAGACACGGCCCACACUCCUACGGGAGGCAGCAGUGGGGAAUAUUGCGCAAUGGGCGAAAGCCUGACGCAGCAACGCCGCGUGGGGGAUGAAUGCCUUCGGGUUGUAAACCCCUUUCAGCAGGGACAAAAAUGACGGUACCUGCAAAAGAAGCCCCGGCCAACUACGUGCCAGCAGCCGCGGUAACACGUAGGGGGCAAGCGUUGUCCGGAUUUAUUGGGCGUAAAGAGCUCGUAGGCGGUUGCGUAAGUCGGAUGUGAAAACUCAGGGCUCAACCCGGAGACGCCAUCCGAUACUGCGCUGACUAGAGUCCGGUAGAGGAGCAUGGAAUUCCUGGUGUAGCGGUGAAAUGCGCAUAUAUCAGGAGAAACACCAGUGGCGAAGGCGGUGCCCUGGGCCGGUACUGACGCUGAGGAGCGAAAGCGUGGGUAGCGAACAGGAUUAGAUACCCUGGUAGUCCACGCCGUAAACGUUGGGCACUAGGUGUGGGGCCUCCUUAACGGGUUCCGUGCCGUAGCUAACGCAUUAAGUGC
This 797-nucleotide ribosomal RNA is filed under the name uncultured bacterium. RNAcentral's name for it is "bacterial SSU rRNA". It matches the Rfam family "Bacterial small subunit ribosomal RNA", at positions 56 to 867 of the family's 1533-position model. The record is from RNAcentral.